ACGGUCCUAAGGUAGCGAAAUUCCUUGUCGGGUAAGUUCCGACCUGCACGAAUGGCAUAACGAUGGCCACACUGUCUCCUCCCGAGACUCAGUGAAGUUGAAGUGUUUGUGAUGAUGCAAACUACCCGCGGCUAGACGGAAAGACCCCAUGAACCUUUACUGCAGCUUUGCAUUGAACUGUGAACCGAUUUGUGUAGGAUAGGUGGGAGACAGAGAAGGAGGAGCGCCAGCUCCUCUGGAGUCAACCUUGAAAUACCACCCUGAUUUGUUUGCGGUUCUAACCAAGACAGGACCACACUGUUUGGGACCGUGCAUGGUAGGCAGUUUGACUGGGGCGGUCUCCUCCUAAAGGGUAACGGAGGAGUACGAAGGUACGCUAGGUACGGUCGGAAAUCGUGCUGAUAGUGCAAUGGCAAAAGCGUGCUUGACUGCGAGAGCAACAACUCGAGCAGAUGCGAAAGCAGGUCAUAGUGAUCCGGUGGCACUGAAUGGAAGGGCCAUCGCUCAACGGAUAAAAGGUACUCUGGGGAUAACAGGCUGAUACCGCCCAAGAGUUCAUAUCGACGGCGGUGUUUGGCACCUCGAUGUCGGCUCAUCUCAUCCUGGGGCUGAAGUCGGUCCCAAGGGUAUGGCUGUUCGCCAUUUAAAGAGGUACGUGAGCUGGGUUUAAAACGUCGUGAGACAGUUUGGUCCCUAUCUGCCGUGGGCGUUGGAAGAUUGACGGGGGCUGCUCCUAGUACGAGAGGACCGGAGUGGACGCACCUCUGGUGUACCGGUUGUCACGCCAGUGGCAUAGCCGGGUAGCUAAGUGCGGAAGAGAUAACCGCUGAAAGCAUCUAAGCGGGAAACUUGCCUGAAGAUGAGUCUUCCCGGAGGUAAAACCUCCCAAAAGAGUCGUUCGAGACCAGGACGUCGAUAGGUCAGGUGUGUAAGUGCUGUAAGGCAUUGAGCUAACUGAUACUAAUUGCUCGUGAGGCUUGAUCCU
This 985-nucleotide ribosomal RNA is filed under the name human gut metagenome. Its description in RNAcentral is "bacterial LSU rRNA". It matches the Rfam family "Bacterial large subunit ribosomal RNA", at positions 1945 to 2925 of the family's 2925-position model. The record is from RNAcentral.